AGAUCAGUGAUGACCUCCAAAAUGGAUCUCAUUGGAAUCUGAGCCAGAAGAGUGGUGAAAGCACUUAUGUGAACUGAGGUCU
Molecule: small nucleolar RNA, 82 nt
Organism: Bison bison bison
Lineage: Eukaryota; Metazoa; Chordata; Mammalia; Artiodactyla; Bovidae
Gene: SNORD116
Rfam family: Small nucleolar RNA SNORD116
About the family: HBII-85 is a member of the C/D class of snoRNAs, which contain the C (UGAUGA) and D (CUGA) box motifs. HBII-85 is encoded in a tandemly repeated array with another C/D snoRNA, HBII-52, in the Prader-Willi syndrome (PWS) region of chromosome 15.
Source: Ensembl